AUCCUAAGGUCCCUUCCUUCCUUAUACUAGAAUGAAGUUAUUUUAGUUAAGCUUUACAGUUUUUAAGAUAACUUUUUCACACUAAACAUCUGUCAUGCUAAUUUAUCUUUAAAGGAGUGAUCUUUGGAACCCUGUCCACAAGAUGUUCCUAAAAUUGCUACCUUUUCUCAUAAACAUAGGAAAUAAAAGCAUAUUAAACAUUCUGACAGUCCUGCAAUAAUAGCACUUAAUAAACUGUUCAAUAAAGAAAUGUAAUUAGUCGUCUUUUAAAGACUAUUUCCAAAAUUAAUUGAUUUGGAGCCAUUUUUUUAGCAUCACAUCUAUAAACAUCUUAUAUAAUGAGUGAUCUGUCUAACAAGCCUUGGGAAAGUGUUCUCUUACAAUGCAUGAAGAAAAGCUCCCCAGCGAUUUUGACUUCCUAAUGAAGAACUUCAAAUCUUUACGCCCUUUGAAAACUUGUUUAUUUUAAUGCUGCUUCUAAUAAUCAGAUAAUUAUUUAAUUAUGCGUCUUUGAAUUAAAUCAAAUACUUUUCUUCUAGUUUUAAUCAGUAUUUCCCAUGUGGUGCUUCCUCUAUGCAUUUUUUAAAAAGAUUUUUGUUGUUUUUCUAAGGUUUUAUCUUGGUUAUUUAGUUAUGUCUUCCUCUACCGUCUCUUUUUCCAACAAACUGUUUGGAUGCAGAUUAACAUUCAAAUGAGUGCCAAGUGUGGUUUGGUUAGAAAUGAAUUAUUCAUUAAUAAAAACAAAAAAAAUUGCUUUUGACCAAUUAGUUCUGUGCAAAUUAGUCAAUGACUAUUAAAUGUCAAUGUUUCUUAAGAAAAUCUGGUAGGUUUUCAUCCCAUUGAAACAAGAAUAUUGUCUCUUUGUCUCCUUAUUCCUAAUUCUAACCAAUUGUUAGGCUUUAGUUAGUCAUCUUUAUUCAAAACUAGGUACAUGCUUUAAAAUGACCUUCAAAAUUGGAAAUAAGUUGACACAGUUCUCAAUCACACCUAUAAGGGGUUGAGGAAUUCCAGUUCCACUGUAAGACAUUAUGACUGAAAGAUAACAUAAAAUAAAACUAUGAGACUACACUUCAUUUAAUUGUAUUAGGCCAGAUCUUAAGUGAUAGGUGUAGAACUGUGAAUAUUCAUUUACUUAUUCAUUGCUUUUUAGGCCCACACCUGCAGCAUGUAGCAGUUCCUAGGCUAGGGGUCCAGUCAGAGCUGCAGCUGCCAGCCUGUGACAUAGCCAUAGCAACAUGGGAUCUGAGCUGAGACUAUGAACUAUACUGCAGUUCAGGGCAACGCCGGAUCCUUAUCCCACUGAGUAAAGCCAGGGAUUGAACCCGCAUCCCCAUGGAUACUAGUCAGGUUAGUAACCUGCUAAGCCACCAUGGGAACUCCCAGAGCUGUGAAUUUUUAAAGUAAAACACUAAGACUUCAUAAAAAUAUGGAAAACUAUACUUUAGAAAACUACCAGAAACUAUAUAGUUAAUAUAUUAGGAAAGGGGUUAGUCCACUUAAAGGGACGAAGUUUUCUAAUACUCAGUUUUAUUUUUGUUUUCAUUUUAGAAUAGGAAAAAAAUGACCUAGUGUAUAAUUCAACAAUAUCCUCAAAUUAGGAAGGAAACUUUGCCUAUGAGCUAUUUAUAGCUUUUCUCUUUGAGUAACUAAAUCAGGCCUUGAAUAUAAUGAGCUUAAUAAGUGAUGCUGCUGCUACAGCUCAUUGUGAGCGAAAGCAAUGUUUUUUGCUUUAGGAGAUAAAUUUUCAAAGGGUAUAGAAAACUAGAUUUAAGCACGGCUCAGACAUGGAAUGAUGGGUUCCAUGUAAAAACAGCAUUAUGAAAAGUUGAUUUGAACUCAUUGAACAACAAACUUUUGAUAUGAGCUAGAGCUGAAAGGGCAGUUUAAACAAGUUUCAUUUAGAGGGAGGAAUUUUGAGAACAUGUGUCAAAGGAUGCCAACCAGACCAUGAAUUUGUGGAACACCAUGUGUCUAGCAAACGCUCCUUUUUCACAAGGCAGAGAACUUAGACUGUCACAGGACAGUGCAAGACAGUCCCUUGCUGGAGACCCCCAUUACUCAGAGUUUAAAGAGUAGUUGCUGAUAGAAUCAACAUAGUACUAGCGCUAGACUGAAGUAGGAUAUAAAUAUGCAUUAAAAUAGUAUAUAACUGUUGAUAUGGUGCUGACUUUGGGAAUUUUUUAAUACAUAUUUUCCUUGUAACAAACCAGAUCUGAUAUGAAAUAUAGAGAUUUACGGUUUUGUCAAAGAGUCUAUUAAAUGUAUUCAAGACUGUUCUUUUCAAUGCCUAAUGGAUGUAUUGGGCAAAAAUAAUGAGAGGGGUUAAUUCCUUAUCUUGUAGACCUUAAUUUGCAAUAGAUGGCCCUAAGCUCAUAAACUAUGUCUUUAAUUCUGAUACCAGAAUAGAAAUAUUUUAAACUUUGGAACUGUUUAUUUAAUGAUAGAAUGCAAUCCAGGGAUCAAAUCUGCAUCCUCAUGGAUACUAGUCAGAUUCAUUUCCAAAUAGCCACAGUGGGAACUACCUCCUCUUCCAUCUAAUAAAUGAUUAGAAACCCAGGCUCAGAUGAAAAAGUAUUCCCAUAGAAUCUUAUUCAAAUCCCUGCAAACAGCUUUGCUGAAAUCCCAAGUACAAAGUCACUAAUCUUUCUAGGCAGCUUAUGCUGUGCUUUUGUUAAAAACAUCACCGCAAACAACAACAAAAACCUUUGUAAGCUUAUCAUUAAAAUGCACAUUCAAUAAAGAGGGACUCAGUAGACUCUUAGGAGAAGGGAUAUUGGUCUUAAAGGCUGUCCUCUUUCUGCUACAGUCUAGCUCACUAGCAUGGACUUGUAGUAUUUGACAGCUCUCACAUUUCCUGUGGUUCCUGUUGUAUCACUUUAACCUAAUUGCAUUGAACCAGCAUCUUGGCCCAUGGUCUGUAAUGUGAGGAUGUUAAAUGUGUGUCAUAUGGAAAAUAUCCGAUGCUAUGUUGUGCAUUGUAAUAAGCUACUAAAGAUUAGAGCCAUGAGAACCAGAGAAACCAAAAUCUAUAAUUAUUGGCAUUUGUGGGAAUUGUUCCAAGAACAUUUAGCCAUUUUAAUCCAAUUUUCUUUCUUUAUGGUCCUUAACAAGAAAGAAAUAUACACAGAGGGCUUUAAUCCACAGCCCCCUUUUAUUCUCUCUUACUGGAGAAUAUAAACCAGAUCUAUGGCUUACCUCAAAUAUAAAUCUUAUUCAACAUACAGGAUCAGAGACAUAUGUGUUCAUAAUGAAUUUUUGUCAAGUUCUGUCUUUAAAGAAGCUUUAAGGUUGGCUUUGGACACAAAACAGUCGUAUGUUGACUCUCGCUUAGAAGCUUUGUUUUAAAAGAUUUUAUCAGAAUUAUGUUUCCUAGAGGGUUAGUUUGUAAACAAUACUUGUAAUGACAGACUCUGUCAUACUCAAAUUAUCAUUUGAAACAUUAUUUUAUUCUUAUUUUAUUACAAUCUUAAUAUGAAAUGUGACCAUGAAUAAAUACAGUUGAUUUAUUUUAUUGGUAUCUGCAAUAUUGUCAAAGUAGAUACAUUGAGGAUACAUUCAUUCAGGCAAUCCUGCUUUAGAUAUUGAUUUAGCAUCUCUUUCUUGAAAUUGUCAUUAAAGCUAGUUUAUUGACUACAAGAAAGGUGGCAUUAUUGCCUUAGUGAGUAUUGGAGCUUUACCCAAAAAAAGAAGGAAAGAAUGUAUAUAUAUCAGUUAUAUUCAUCCAUCUGUUUAUUUAUUCAUUAUUUUUUUAAAAUAUUUUUACAGAUAGAUAUGGUUCCAAACACCAUUUGGCUUAUUUUUUUUAAAGGCUCUGUUUUAAAAAUUGGAGAUAUUCCACAUUGAGGUUAUUCAAAGGAAUCUUGUUGCAGAUUUUGAAGAAAACUGAAGUUCAAAUGAGUCUAGAUAAAGGUUGCUUAUGUCAGAGAACAAAUACAACUUAAUGUGCUAAAGUAAGAGACAAAAUUAACAAAUGAAUAAAUUAUCCCUUUAAACUUCAUACAACAAACAAAUUUGUUGUUUAUCUAGCUAGUUGCACCUUGUCCACAGGCCACUAAUGACCAUUAAAAUGAAAACAGUUGAGCCAUCAUGUGGAAUCUGUUUUUAUUUCUGACUUCCAUGACUGAGCUCAGAUGUUGCUAUGCUGAAAUUUGCCUAUAAGGAAUCUUGGAAUUGCUUAAUGGAAUAUCCAAAGGUAAGCUCCACAUUAAGUAUCCCACAUGAAUUGACCAUAGCAAAUCCUUGUGAGGAACUAACAUCCUCCAGUUUUAAGUCAUGUCUAUUCUCAUGAAAAUGUACCAACAUCAUGUUGUUUAUUUCAAGGAUGUUAUACAUGGAAACCAUUGCCACAUUCGGCAUUGUAUCUGCUCAUUUUCUAUAUACCUUUUUGCCUAAAAGUGGAUUUAAAGCUAUUCAACACUGUUGAUGUGAAGGUAAUAGCUGCCGUAAGUUUUAUAGCUACAUAACAGACUGAUGAGCAUGUGUAUUUUUUGGUUUUCAUUUCUAGAUCUCUAUAUUCUUUCAUAAAGACACUGUCCACCAUUUCUUCAUGAAAGGUAGCUUUACUAAAACCCCCACAAUCAACCUAACAAUAGUUGUAGAUUGUAUAAAUAUGAAUAUUAUAUAUUUUAUCGCAGAGCAUCAGCUGAAUUUGGUGCAUUUAAGUAAGUGAUUAAACUAGUUACAUCAAUUUUAUUUUAAAAAAGGAAAUGUGAUGAAAAAGUAAGAGCUUCGAUAUUUUUCUGUAACCAAUGAACUGACUCUAAAGCUAGUUUUCAAAAAGAAUCUCUACAAUCAGCAGUCAGAAGAAUGAAAAGCAAAGCCUGCUUCUGAUGUAAAGCACUUUACUGGCUGUGUAAUUUUUAUUUGGCCACAAUUAACAGUCUUUGAAGGUAACUCAGAGAAUAGCAAAACCAUUUUUAAUCCCCAAAUGAUUUUAAAAUAGAAACUUCUUAGAUACUAACUUUAAAAAAUUUUUGAUAGGAGUUCCAUCAUGGCUCAGCAGAAAAGAAUCUAUCAUCCAUGAGGACUCAGGUUCGAUUCCUGGCCACACUCAGUGGGUUAAGGAUUUGGUGUUCCCUUGAGCUGUGGUGUAGGUCGCAGAUGCAGCUCAGAUCCCACAUUGACAUGGCUGUGAUGUAGGCUGGCAGCUGUAGCUCCAAUUCAGCCCCUAGCCUGGGACCCUCCAUAUGCCAUGGGUGCAGCCCUAAAAAGACAAAAAAAAAAUUUUUUUUUGAUAACUCCUAUACAUAUUUAUUUCUAAUAUUUAAGCUGUAAUUUAUGUAAGCAUAAAAUUUAUCAAGUGGAAUCAUUGUAAUCUUAGCCUGUUUGUUUUACUGCCAUUACAUAAUCUGCCCACAUUGGUUGGUAGUUCACCAUUCCCUAAAGAAAUGAGUGAAUGAAUGAUGUUUGUAACUGUCUAUGACAGACAGGAGUAUCUCUAUAACAAUUUUAUAUGGAAACAUUAAUUGACAACACAUCUCUACUAAAGAACUCUUUUCUGCUUUUCACAGAAGAACAGAUACAAGCUUAAGCCUAAAAGUGAAAUAAGAACAUCUAUCCCUACCAUCAGUUUAUCAUUAGAAAUUACAAGGCAGGUUAUAUAAUGCUAGCACAGUUAAUAGGCCAGAAUUACUACAUUCCUACCUGAUAAGUUUUAUUCAUACACCAUCUUUAACUUAAAUCUUAGUGGUCAAGACAGCAAUAACUUCAUCAAAUUCUGUUACUUCUGUCAAUGUUGUUUGGAUACAUUCUCCAAAUAACUGCAAUCUCCCUUUCUUAGUAGAAAGGCACAGUGUUUUUCUGAAUUUUUAUCUUGGACCCAUUUACCAAAGGAAAACUUACCAUAAAUGAGCUUAAAGAUCUUAGUAACUUAAACCUUCUAGUCAUUAAAUUAAGAGAGCCUCUCUGUGAUUAUUAAUAGUCACAGGGCAUUAAGAUAUGUAUGAAGAGCUGUCAUCAUUUCAGGAAGUUAUCACAAGAAUGUUCCCUUUGAGGCUUUGAUUUGUGAGCAAUGCUAUUUCACGGGUAGAGGUAUCGAGCCUUUACAUUUAUUGUUAGAUAAAUGUAAAUUGAAAGAAUGUGCUUGAGGACAAAGGUCACAUAAUAAGGGCUUUAUGCACCUGAAAGCUCAAAACCAUUGCUUAGAACAUUUUAGUGACUGUUAU
This 6164-nucleotide long non-coding RNA is filed under the name Sus scrofa (pig). RNAcentral's name for it is "lncRNA (ENSSSCG00060017440.1)". The record is from RNAcentral. Lineage: Eukaryota; Metazoa; Chordata; Mammalia; Artiodactyla; Suidae.